AUUAAAAAUUUAAAAUUAAGAAAGAUAAUUAAAAUUUUAAAAAACCAUUUAUGUGAGAUUGGAAUUUUGUUAGUUUAAAAACUAGAAAUUAAAAAUUUGUUACAAUUUUUUAUACCUUAUAGAGAUGCUAAAAGAGAAUUAAAAAAAAAGAAUUUCUAAUUAUUAUUAAUUUACAGUUUUACACAAAAUUAAAAACUUUUUAAAUAAAUCAUAAAAUUAAAUGUAAAAAAAAAAAAGAAACAGACGCAUAUGCAAAAGGCCAAAAAUAGCCUGUCAAUCAAAACGGGAGUCGGAGAUGAACUUCUUUACCUUGGUCACUGGUGUUUGGCUGUUUGCUGAAUUGGAUCUAGUGCCUAGUUAAUUAACGACGCUGCAACACGUCCUGAUCUCGCCUUGUGAGCUGGUUAGCACAUCAAUGGCUGGCGGAAGCCUUUAACAAUGACAAUGAAAGUUUUGGAAUUGCAUUUGAGGAUCUUCGUCUCAAAUUUUUGUGUUCUUGCUUAUUUAUGCUUGAGUUCUGAAUAACGGAUACAUAUCGCAACAAAUCUGUAAAGUAUUUUUUCUUUUCUUUUUUCUUUUUUUUUUAACAAGAUCAGUAUAGAUACGAUUUAGAUACGUAUCCCUAACGUAUCGGAAUGUAUCCGUAUCAGAUACGUAUCUGUGCUUCUGAGGCCUCAAGCAAUCCUCGAAAGCAUGGUUUGAUAGCUUAACUCAAGUUGUCAACGAAGGAGAUGAUUAUGAUCAAAUCAAACACCUAAAGGAGCUCUUGGCUAAGGAAUUUGAAGUGAAAGACUUGGGACAACUCAAGUAUUUUCUUGGGAUGGAAGUUGCUCGGACAAAGAAUGACAUUUAUGUAUCUCAAAGGAAGUAUACUUUGGACCUCCUUCAAGAAAUUGGGAUGCUUGGAUGCAAGGCGGCUAAUACAACCCAUUGAACUAGCGAAAAGAAGUAGUUCUGAGGAAAAAAGUCCACCAACUAACAAAGAUAGGUACCAAAGCCUAGUUGGAAGGUUAAUUUACCUGACUCGCACUAGGCCUGGCAUCGAAUUUGCUGAAGUUUGGCUAGCCGCUGCAUGUUUAAUCCUACUGAAGUCCAUAUGAAAAUUGUGAAUUGAAUCCUUCAAUACCUUAAGGGUACACCAGGUAAGGGACUCUACUUCAAGAAAAGCUCAAACAGAGGUAUUGAAACGUACAUAGAUUCAGAUUGAGCAGGAUGUACCUCAAACAGAAAAUCUACUACAAGCUAUUGUUCCUUUGUAGUGGCAAGAAGCAGUGUAGAAGUUGAAUUCAGAGCUAUGGCACAAGGCAUUUGUGAAGGGAUUUGACUUAAACGGAUGUUGGAAGAAAUUAGAGUUCCCAUAAAUUAUACAAUGAGGAUUUUGUGUUGCCAUAGGUAUUGCAAAGAACCUUGUCCACCAUGACAAGACAAAACAUGUGAAGAUUGAUCAGCACUUCAUUAAGGAAAAAACUGAUCACAAAAUGAUAAAUAUGGAUCAUGUACCAUCAUGUAAACAGACAACAGACAUUCUAAGUAAGCCUCUGCCAAGGAACACUUAUGAAAGCAUCAGAUCCAAUCUAUGUAUGAUAGACAUCACCUAGGUUGAGGGAGAGUGUUGAAAAUAGAACAAAUCAAUUAGAAUCUAAUUCUGAUUGUGUACAACUUACCAAAAUUAAUUGUAAUUAGAAUCUGUAUUAUUCUUGGCUUCCAUCAUUAUUUAGCCAUAUCAUUUCAUUUCUAGGUAUAAUUAUUCCCCUGAUUUAGUCUAGAUUAAUGUACAUAUUUAUUUUCCCUUUCCUAUUUAUUUCCCCUAUUGUAUCAAGUAUUAUUAAGAGAAAAAUAAUCCAUAUUUCUGUAGGUAACAAUGUCCAUUUAGCAGUACCUGUGCAUAGGCUAGAUUUUAGGGUUUAGUUAGGCCAAUCUUCUUAAUUCUACCUUAAUGUCAAUGCAGCAGCAUCCUCUAUGUCAUGCCCAAUGAUUGUUCUGUUUUCGAGCUCCCUAAAAUUUGGAGGUAUACUUUAUUUUCAUGAUGAAUUCUUAUUGUUGGGCUAUGCAAAAAAAUUUACCACUGAAACUGUAGAUUUUCGUUUGCCAAAGCUGCCACGAGCCACCUCUAUCUCCCAGUUCCAUUAGCACCUAUCAGUUCAUGACAGCACCUGAUUACUUUUUUGACUGUUAUCACCCUUUCUGACUCAUCCUUACCUCGUCCAACUGCUCACUGGAGUUUUUCCAGCCAUCCUUUUUCUUGUGCAUGUUGCCCAUAUUUGUUCCACCUACUCUGUCACCUCAGAUCGCUGGCUUCUCAGUUCCCAUGGGGUAUUUUUUGCUCCCUUAGGCUGCAAUAUUUUCACCCAAUAACUUUUGCCUUUCUGCAUUUGGAAGACUCGGUGUAUCAUGACAUGUAAUUAGGGCCUAUCGAAGAUGUAAUGUGCUGCUACCCAAUACCCGCAGAUUUUUAGUGUUGCAAUGCUCCAAAUAUGUAGUCCUUGGUGUGAAGGGGUAUGUCAUGAUUCCAAAUUGGUUUGGGGUUUAUUGGAUAAAUACCUCUUAUAAUGACUUCGGCAAUCCUCCCCUUUGAGCUAGGUUUUGGGAUUGAGCAAUACUAGUGAUCAAUACUAGUAUUAUAUAAAUAGAGCAAUACUAGUGCCUAGCAACAUACUAUUGACAUACUCUUUGCAACACUUUAUUAUUGGGUGAGUUUCAUGAUCUCCUACUAGACAUGUCCACUUUUUAGUUGUGUUGAAAAUCAGAAUAGAAUAAUAUACCCAUUUAUUGUAUACUACUAAAUAGGGAUGUAUGAUAUAAUGUAAGGGAAAUUAGAUAUCCCCUAAUCAUGCAUAUGAAAUAUUUAAAUGUAUUCUUCCUAUUUAUAUAAACCUCUAUUCUGUACUUUAGACACAUGGAUUCAGCCUAUCAUCAUGCCUCUAUUUUCUUUUUUCUCUUAACAGGUUGAAUCUACAUGAAAAUCACCUAAUAAUAGUGUUUUGAAAGGAGAGUAAGUGUGUGUUGCUACUUGCUAGCAUUUCUUUGUUAGAGUAUAGAGUAGCUAUAGCUCAUAUAUGUGUAUGUAACUCUGUUAUGAGCUCUCGGUUAGUUAUAUGCUGAUUCAACUUGACCGUUAUGUUACUCCUUAUUAGAGCUCUAUAUAUAUCUGUAUUAACAGUAUCAAUGAAUAACAAACAUUUCAGUUGAUCUUCAA
Cajanus cajan (pigeon pea) is the source of this 3196-nucleotide long non-coding RNA. RefSeq lists it as uncharacterized. The record is from RefSeq and is a predicted model, not a curated record. Lineage: Eukaryota; Viridiplantae; Streptophyta; Magnoliopsida; Fabales; Fabaceae.